UGUGACAACAUACUUUACAGUGUGCAUUAUUUACUCUUGGACAACGUACCAUGUAUUCACUGCAUACUUUAAUUAUAAUCACGGCCAUGUUGCCUGGAACGACUGGCCAGGAUUCAGUUUCACAAGAUCCUCUUCAAUUGCAAGUUCAAGAAGGACAGACCAUAAAGUUGAAUUGCACGUACACGACAAACUAUGGUGCACCAACCCUCUUCUGGUACAUCCAGUAUCCCCGGGAAUCUCUGGAAUAUUUACUGAGGAGAUUCGCUGAGGAAAAGGGAGAUACGUCUUCAAAGUUUUCUGAUCGGUUUUCUGCCUUUUUGGAAAAAGAUAAGAAAACAGUUCCAUUAAGCAUCGCUGGAGUUCGUGUCUCUGACUCAGCAAUGUAUUACUGUGCACUGCUGCCCACAUUGUUACAGAAAUACACUCAGCCCUUACAAAAACAAACAAGAGACUCUUACUCAGCUUCCCUCUCCACGCAUGGAACCAGACCACCUCAGUUUCUGCAGCACCAUUCCAUUUUCAUUUCUGCAAAUUUGUUUCCUUUAUCAUAG
Non-coding RNA from Chiloscyllium plagiosum (whitespotted bambooshark), 551 nucleotides. The record is from the annotation of a RefSeq genome assembly. Lineage: Eukaryota; Metazoa; Chordata; Chondrichthyes; Orectolobiformes; Hemiscylliidae.